RNAcentral lists this non-coding RNA (214 nucleotides) under Frateuria sp. The record is from RNAcentral. Lineage: Bacteria; Pseudomonadati; Pseudomonadota; Gammaproteobacteria; Lysobacterales; Rhodanobacteraceae.
CGAUAUGUUGUGUCCGUCGGUGCCUUUCCCAGACCUACGGUCGGACUGGCUUAAUAGGGAAUCCGGUGCGAAUCCGGAACUGCCCCGCAGCGGUAAGCGGAAACGAACGCCAUCACAUGCACUGGCCCGCCGUGGCUGGGAAGCGAAGGCAAGUAGGCGGGUCGCAAGACCCCUGUCCGCAAGUCCGAAGACCUGCCGACACGGCACGGCCAAG